AGUGAACGCUGGCGGUAGGCCUAACACAUGCAAGUCGAACGGCAGCACAGUAAGAGCUUGCUCUUACGGGUGGCGAGUGGCGGACGGGUGAGGAAUACAUCGGAAUCUACUUUUUCGUGGGGGAUAACGUAGGGAAACUUACGCUAAUACCGCAUACGACCUACGGGUGAAAGCAGGGGAUCUUCGGACCUUGCGCGAUUGAAUGAGCCGAUGUCGGAUUAGCUAGUUGGCGGGGUAAAGGCCCACCAAGGCGACGAUCCGUAGCUGGUCUGAGAGGAUGAUCAGCCACACUGGAACUGAGACACGGUCCAGACUCCUACGGGUGGCAGCAGUGGGGAAUAUUGGACAAUGGGCGCAAGCCUGAUCCAGCCAUAGCGCGUGGGUGAAGAAGGCCUUCGGGUUGUAAAGCCCUUUUGUUGGGAAAGAAAAGCAGCAGGUUAAUACCCCGCUGUUCUGACGGUACCCAAAGAAUAAGCACCGGCUAACUUCGUG
This 492-nucleotide ribosomal RNA is filed under the name uncultured bacterium. Its description in RNAcentral is "partial 16S ribosomal RNA". It matches the Rfam family "Bacterial small subunit ribosomal RNA", at positions 29 to 507 of the family's 1533-position model. The record is from RNAcentral.